CCCUCCCUGCACCAAUGACUAAGCUGACCUCUAUAGGACUAAAUAAGCAUUUUUUUUAUAAACAGCAUACAUUGGUGAGUGUGUACAGCAUAUCAAGUAACCAUAACAUUUACAGAGGUUAAAUGUCCUUGCAGAAUCCAAUGUAGCUUUUUACACAAGCCAAGUAGAAAGCAAUAAUAUUUUAAUGGUGUCAGUACCUUAUCGGCUGCUGAUAGUCGUGUCCAUGGUUUAUCUGCUCGUCUGUCGUAGUCCUGUGCUUUUGCCACUUCCACAUAAUCACUGAAUCGAAUCAGGAUCUUUCUGUCUCUUAGUUCAUCUACUGUAGGUCUCUGGUUAAGCUUUCUUGUCAGUCUUUGUUUGAUUUCCCUUCUUUCUUCCUGUUCGGUUUGAUCGUUUCGUUGUUUAAGUAUAUUUCUUCUUUCUAGCUCCUCAACAGCAGGUCUUUGGCUGAGUCGCCUGCGGAAAAACACCAAAAUCACAUUUUGUACCAUGCCUGUUCUUUGGAAAGUCUGCAGGAUUCCAAGUUCUGCUUUGUGUUUUCCUUAUGAGUGUUUAUGGGUAGGAGGAGAACACAAAAUCCUU
Molecule: long non-coding RNA, 582 nt
Filed under: Gallus gallus (chicken)
Lineage: Eukaryota; Metazoa; Chordata; Aves; Galliformes; Phasianidae
Source: RNAcentral